This 253-nucleotide ribosomal RNA is filed under the name uncultured bacterium. RNAcentral describes it as "partial 16S ribosomal RNA". It matches the Rfam family "Bacterial small subunit ribosomal RNA", at positions 524 to 776 of the family's 1533-position model. The record is from RNAcentral.
GACAGAGGGUGCAAACGUUGUUCGGAAUUACUGGGCGUAACGCGAGUGUAGGCGGUUCGGUAAGUCGGAUGUGAAAGCCCCGGGCUCAACCCGGGAAGUGCACUCGAUACUGCCGAGCUAGAGUAUCGGAGAGGUUGGUGGAAUUCUCGGUGUAGCGGUGAAAUGCGUAGAUAUCGGAAGGAACAUCAGUGGCGAAGGCGACUUCCUGGACCAAUACUGACGCUCAGGUGCGAAAGCGUGGGGAGCAAACAGG